Molecule: long non-coding RNA, 393 nt
Organism: Nematolebias whitei (Rio pearlfish)
Lineage: Eukaryota; Metazoa; Chordata; Actinopteri; Cyprinodontiformes; Rivulidae
Exons: 3
Source: RefSeq, a predicted model, not a curated record
CAAAUGCGCGUCUCCAUGAGACUGGAGAGAAAGAAAGAAAGAAAAAAAGCAAAAUAAUUUGAAAAUAAACAACUGUUUUGCAGUUGAACACGGUAACAGUAACCAUGGCAACGCGGUAAACACGAAAGUUUUUAACAGAGACAGCUGAUGCGACGACACCCACCGUUGACGACUGGUCAUGGACGCGCUUUCAAACUACUUGAAGAAUGUGAUUCUUCCUCUGGUGAAGGGAGAGGACCACAUCUGCCGCUGCCUCUGUGCGAGAGAGCAAGCCUAUCACGUUGUUCCAUAUCACGAAGCCUCCGUCGAGGUUUACUCCUCCCAAAACGUCACUGACGUGAUUCCUGUGAUGGCUGGACUGGUUGCCGUCGGUGUCUUCAUCUUCUGGUUCUU